Molecule: ribosomal RNA, 433 nt
Filed under: uncultured bacterium
Lineage: Bacteria
Description: partial 16S ribosomal RNA
Rfam family: Bacterial small subunit ribosomal RNA
Source: RNAcentral
AACGAACGCUGGCGGCAUGCCUAACACAUGCAAGUCGAACGAAGGCUUCGGCCUUAGUGGCGCACGGGUGCGUAACGCGUGGGAAUCUGCCCUUUGGUUCGGAAUAACAGCUGGAAACGGCUGCUAAUACCGGAUGAUGACGAAAGUCCAAAGAUUUAUCGCCAGAGGAUGAGCCCGCGUUGGAUUAGGUAGUUGGUGGGGUAAAGGCCUACCAAGCCGACGAUCCACAGCUGGUCUGAGAGGCUGAUCAGCCACACUGGGACUGAGACACGGCCCAGACUCCUACGGGAGGCAGCAGUGGGGAAUAUUGGACAAUGGGCGCAAGCCUGAACCAGCAAUGCCGCGUGAGUGAUGAAGGCCCUAGGGUAGUAAAGCUCUUUUACCCGGGAAGAUAAUGACUGUACCGAGAGAAUAAGCCCCGGCUAACUCCGUG